GGACCCGCACAAGUAGUGGAGCAUGUGGUUUAAUUCGAAGAUACGCGCAGAACCUUACCAACACUUGACAUGUUCGUCGCGACUCUAAGAGAUUAGAGUUUUCGGUUCGGCCGGACGAAACACAGGUGCUGCAUGGCUGUCGUCAGCUCGUGUCGUGAGAUGUUGGGUUAAGUCCCGCAACGAGCGCAACCCUCACUUUUAGUUGCCAUCAUUAGGUUGGGCACUCUGAAAGAACUGCCAGUGAUAAAGCUGGAGGAAGGUGGGGAUGACGUCAAGUCCUCAUGGCCCUUACGUGUUGGGCUACACACGUGCUACAAUGGUAUCUACAACAGGAAGCAAGACUGCGAAGUUUAGCAAAUCCUUAAAAGAUACCUCAGUUCGGAUUGCACUCUGCAACUCGAGUGCAUGAAGCUGGAAUUACUAGUAA
Molecule: ribosomal RNA, 427 nt
Filed under: uncultured bacterium
Lineage: Bacteria
Description: bacterial SSU rRNA
Rfam family: Bacterial small subunit ribosomal RNA
Source: RNAcentral